GGGUUGUGAGGUUAAGCGACUAAGCGUACACGGUGGAUGCCCUGGCAGUCAGAGGCGAUGAAGGGCGUGCUAAUCUGCGAUAAGCGCCGGUAAGGUGAUAUGAACCGUUAUAACCGGCGAUACCCGAAUGGGGAAACCCAGUGUGAUUCGUCACACUAUCAUUAACUGAAUCCAUAGGUUAAUGAGGCGAACCGGGGGAACUGAAACAUCUAAGUACCCCGAGGAAAAGAAAUCAACCGAGAUUCCCCCAGUAGCGGCGAGCGAACGGGGAGGAGCCCAGAGCCUGAAUCAGCAUGUGUGUUAGUGGAAGCGUCUGGAAAGGCGCGCGAUACAGGGUGACAGCCCCGUACACAAAAGCGCAUGUGCUGUGAGCUCGAUGAGUAGGGCGGGACACGUGGUAUCCUGUCUGAAUAUGGGGGGACCAUCCUCCAAGGCUAAAUACUCCUGACUGACCGAUAGUGAACCAGUACCGUGAGGGAAAGGCGAAAAGAACCCCGGCGAGGGGAGUGAAAAAGAACCUGAAACCGUGUACGUACAAGCAGUGGGAGCACAGGUUUACCUGUGUGACUGCGUACCUUUUGUAUAAUGGGUCAGCGACUUAUAUUCUGUAGCAAGGUUAACCGAAUAGGGGAGCCGGAGGGAAACCGAGUCUUAAUUGGGCGUUAAGUUGCAGGGUAUAGACCCGAAACCCGGUGAUCUAGCCAUGGGCAGGUUGAAGGUUGGGUAACACUAACUGGAGGACCGAACCGACUAAUGUUGAAAAAUUAGCGGAUGACCUGUGGCUGGGGGUGAAAGGCCAAUCAAACCGGGAGAUAGCUGGUUCUCCCCGAAAGCUAUUUAGGUAGCGCCUCGUGAAUUCAUCUCCGGGGGUAGAGCACUGUUUCGGCUAGGGGGCCAUCCCGGCUUACCAACCCGAUGCAAACUGCGAAUACCGGAGAAUGUUAUCACGGGAGACACACGGCGGGUGCUAACGUCCGUCGUGAAGAGGGAAACAACCCAGACCGCCAGCUAAGGUCCCAAAGUCAUGGUUAAGUGGGAAACGAUGUGGGAAGGCCCAGACAGCCAGGAUGUUGGCUUAGAAGCAGCCAUCAUUUAAAGAAAGCGUAAUAGCUCACUGGUCGAGUCGGCCUGCGCGGAAGAUGUAACGGGGCUAAACCAUGCACCGAAGCUGCGGCAGCGACGCUUAUGCGUUGUUGGGUAGGGGAGCGUUCUGUAAGCCUGCGAAGGUGGCCUGUGAGGGUUGCUGGAGGUAUCAGAAGUGCGAAUGCUGACAUAAGUAACGAUAAAGCGGGUGAAAAGCCCGCUCGCCGGAAGACCAAGGGUUCCUGUCCAACGUUAAUCGGGGCAGGGUGAGUCGACCCCUAAGGCGAGGCCGAAAGGCGUAGUCGAUGGGAAACGGGUUAAUAUUCCCGUACUUGGUGUUACUGCGAAGGGGGGACGGAGAAGGCUAUGUUGGCCGGGCGACGGUUGUCCCGGUUUAAGCGUGUAGGUGUGUGUUCCAGGUAAAUCCGGUUCACUUUAACACUGAGGCGUGAUGACGAGGCACUACGGUGCUGAAGUAACAAAUGCCCUGCUUCCAGGAAAAGCCUCUAAGCAUCAGGUAACAUCAAAUCGUACCCCAAACCGACACAGGUGGUCAGGUAGAGAAUACCAAGGCGCUUGAGAGAACUCGGGUGAAGGAACUAGGCAAAAUGGUGCCGUAACUUCGGGAGAAGGCACGCUGACACGUAGGUGAAGUGAUUUACUCACGGAGCUGAAGUCAGUCGAAGAUACCAGCUGGCUGCAACUGUUUAUUAAAAACACAGCACUGUGCAAACACGAAAGUGGACGUAUACGGUGUGACGCCUGCCCGGUGCCGGAAGGUUAAUUGAUGGGGUCAGCGCAAGCGAAGCUCCUGAUCGAAGCCCCGGUAAACGGCGGCCGUAACUAUAACGGUCCUAAGGUAGCGAAAUUCCUUGUCGGGUAAGUUCCGACCUGCACGAAUGGCGUAAUGAUGGCCAGGCUGUCUCCACCCGAGACUCAGUGAAAUUGAACUCGCUGUGAAGAUGCAGUGUACCCGCGGCAAGACGGAAAGACCCCGUGAACCUUUACUAUAGCUUGACACUGAACAUUGAGCCUUGAUGUGUAGGAUAGGUGGGAGGCUUUGAAGUGUGGACGCCAGUCUGCAUGGAGCCGACCUUGAAAUACCACCCUUUAAUGUUUGAUGUUCUAACGUGGACCCGUUACCCGGGUUGCGGACAGUGUCUGGUGGGUAGUUUGACUGGGGCGGUCUCCUCCUAAAGAGUAACGGAGGAGCACGAAGGUUGGCUAAUCCUGGUCGGACAUCAGGAGGUUAGUGCAAUGGCAUAAGCCAGCUUGACUGCGAGCGUGACGGCGCGAGCAGGUGCGAAAGCAGGUCAUAGUGAUCCGGUGGUUCUGAAUGGAAGGGCCAUCGCUCAACGGAUAAAAGGUACUCCGGGGAUAACAGGCUGAUACCGCCCAAGAGUUCAUAUCGACGGCGGUGUUUGGCACCUCGAUGUCGGCUCAUCACAUCCUGGGGCUGAAGUAGGUCCCAAGGGUAUGGCUGUUCGCCAUUUAAAGUGGUACGCGAGCUGGGUUUAGAACGUCGUGAGACAGUUCGGUCCCUAUCUGCCGUGGGCGCUGGAGAACUGAGGGGGGCUGCUCCUAGUACGAGAGGACCGGAGUGGACGCAUCACUGGUGUUCGGGUUGUCAUGCCAAUGGCACUGCCCGGUAGCUAAAUGCGGAAGAGAUAAGUGCUGAAAGCAUCUAAGCACGAAACUUGCCCCGAGAUGAGUUCUCCCUGAGACUUAAAGUCUCCUGAAGGAACGUUGAAGACGACGACGUUGAUAGGCCGGGUGUGUAAGCGCAGCGAUGCGUUGAGCUAACCGGUACUAAUGAACCGUGAGGCUUAACCCUACAACGCCGAAG
RNAcentral lists this ribosomal RNA (2929 nucleotides) under Salmonella enterica subsp. enterica serovar Dublin str. ATCC 39184. RNAcentral's name for it is "bacterial LSU rRNA". It matches the Rfam family "Bacterial large subunit ribosomal RNA". Lineage: Bacteria; Pseudomonadati; Pseudomonadota; Gammaproteobacteria; Enterobacterales; Enterobacteriaceae. The record is from RNAcentral.